CCUACGGGAGGCAGCAGUCGAGAAUUAUUCACAAUGGGGGAAACCCUGAUGGUGCGACGCCGCGUGGGGGAAUGAAGGUCUUCGGAUUGUAAACCCCUGUCAUGUGGGAGCAAAUUAAAAAGAUAGUACCACAAGAGGAAGAGACGGCUAACUCUGUGCCAGCAGCCGCGGUAAUACAGAGGUCUCAAGCGUUGUUCGGAAUCACUGGGCGUAAAGCGUGCGUAGGCUGUUUCGUAAGUCGUGUGUGAAAGGCGCGGGCUCAACCCGCGGACGGCACAUGAUACUGCGAGACUAGAGUAAGGGAGGGGGAACCGGAAUUCUCGGUGUAGCAGUGAAAUGCGUAGAUAUCGAGAGGAACACUCGUGGCGAAGGCGGGUUCCUGGACAGUAACUGACGCUGAGGCACGAAGGCCAGGGGAGCGAAAGGGAUUAGAUACCCGUGUAGUC
This 446-nucleotide ribosomal RNA is filed under the name uncultured bacterium. Its description in RNAcentral is "partial 16S ribosomal RNA". It matches the Rfam family "Bacterial small subunit ribosomal RNA", at positions 338 to 795 of the family's 1533-position model. The record is from RNAcentral.